AACGAACGCUGGCGGCAUGCCUAACACAUGCAAGUCGAACGAGAUCUUCGGGUCUAGUGGCGCACGGGUGCGUAACGCGUGGGAAUCUGCCCUUUGGUUCGGAAUAGCAGUUGGAAACGACUGCUAAUACCGGAUGAUGACGAAAGUCCAAAGAUUUAUCGCCAGAGGAUGAGCCCGCGUAGGAUUAGCUAGUUGGUGUGGUAAAGGCGCACCAAGGCGACGAUCCUUAGCUGGUCUGAGAGGAUGAUCAGCCACACUGGGACUGAGACACGGCCCAGACUCCUACGGGAGGCAGCAGUGGGGAAUAUUGGACAAUGGGCGAAAGCCUGAUCCAGCAAUGCCGCGUGAGUGAUGAAGGCCUUAGGGUUGUAAAGCUCUUUUACCCGGGAUGAUAAUGCCAGUACCGGGAGAAUAAGCUCCGGCUAACUCCGUGCCAGCCGCCGCAGUAA
This 449-nucleotide ribosomal RNA is filed under the name uncultured bacterium. Its description in RNAcentral is "partial 16S ribosomal RNA". It matches the Rfam family "Bacterial small subunit ribosomal RNA", at positions 29 to 523 of the family's 1533-position model. The record is from RNAcentral.